UAAGCGGGUGGAGCUGAAAUUGGUGUGGUGAUUGAUGUCUGCCGAUUGACGGUUGGAUAGAGUUAGAUCGUUAUAGACUAUUCUGUUUGACUGUAUUGAUUGGUUGGCUGUUUAUCCCAUGCUUUAACCACGAUCGGCGGUAUGACUGUGCUACCAUUGCGGAGAAGGUGCCCAAUUUACUAUCUUGUAUUUUGGUGUUAUAGCUCUGCUUUGUGGUUUCGGUUUGCUGUCGUGAAGAUGGAUAUGGAAGUACGUGUUGGUAUUGGUGUCGUGUAAUGUUAUGACUUUUAAAGUUGUUAUGUUGCUACGAUGUCUAUUGCUGGUGCCUCUGCUCUGUAAUCCUAAAUCAGUGGUUUAAAGUAGGCGUUCCACCCGGCCCGUCUUGAAACACGGACCAAGGAGUCUAACAUGUACGCAAGUCAUAGGGUUCUACGAAACCUAAAGGCGCAUUGAAAGAGAAGGUUGCCUUGUUGCAACUCAGCUAUGAUCCUAAUGCUCUCGGGUGUUGGGCGCAAUAGCGGCUUGUCUCAUACUCUUUGAGUGAGGCAAAGCAAGAGCGUACAUGAUGGUACCCGAAAGAUGGUGAACUAUGCUUGCAUAGGUUGAAGCCAGGGGAAACUCUGGUGGAGGACCGCAGCGCUUCUGACGUGCAAAUCGAUCGUCAAAUGUGAGUAUAGGGGCGAAAGACUAAUCGAACCAUCUAGUAGCUGGUUCCCUGCGAAGUUUCCCUCAGGAUAGCUGGUACUCGGGAAUCAAACAGUUUUAUCCGGUAAAGCGAAUGAUUAGAAGUAUUGGGGACGAAAUGUCCUCAACUUAUUCUCAAACUUUAAAUGGGUAAGAAGCUGCACUCUCCUAAACGGAGUGUGGCAUUGAAUGUGAGUGCCUAGUGGGCCAUUUUUGGUAAGCAGAACUGGCGAUGUGGGAUGAACCAAAAGCGGUGGUUAAGGCGCCUAAAUGUACGCUCAUGACAUACCACAAAAGGUGUUGGUUGAUAUAGACAGCAGGACGGUGGCCAUGGAAGUUGGAAUCCGCUAAGGAGUGUGUAACAACUCACCUGCCGAAUCAACCAGCCCUGAAAAUGGAUGGCGGUGGAGCGUUCUGCCUAUACCGCGCCGUUACUGCUAGGAAUUGACUGUAUGCAGUAACGUGUAGCAGGGCGAAAUGGUAAGCCUUGAAGCUUAGACUGUAAAGUCAAGUGGAGCUGCCAUUUUGUGCA
Molecule: ribosomal RNA, 1216 nt
Filed under: Trigonostomum penicillatum
Lineage: Eukaryota; Metazoa; Platyhelminthes; Rhabdocoela; Trigonostomidae
Description: eukaryotic LSU rRNA
Rfam family: Eukaryotic large subunit ribosomal RNA
Source: RNAcentral